This is a small nucleolar RNA of Chinchilla lanigera (long-tailed chinchilla), 130 nucleotides long. Lineage: Eukaryota; Metazoa; Chordata; Mammalia; Rodentia; Chinchillidae. The record is from Ensembl.
GGCACUUGUGUGUAUUUUUGUCUUAAUUUGGGGACUAAAACUUAAUGAACAGGUGUAAAAAAUAAAUCGUCUUUCGCAACCCAGAGCUCAUUGUUCGGUAUGAGUUUUGAGACAUAGGAGAAAGAAUUUU